Cygnus olor (mute swan) is the source of this 827-nucleotide long non-coding RNA. RefSeq lists it as uncharacterized. The record is from RefSeq and is a predicted model, not a curated record. NCBI's taxonomy places the organism in Eukaryota, Metazoa, Chordata, Aves, Anseriformes, Anatidae. The transcript is spliced from 2 exons.
AAAUUAUGUGGGAGGAGCAGGAGGAAGAAGAGAGAUACUACUACAGUUAGCAGGAGAAGGAAUGCCAGCUUUCCCACCCUUUCUCCCAACUUUUUAAACAUAUUUUACUUACUUUUCUUAAAUGUAAAAUCUAUUAUCAGGCUUGGGAAAAAGGACAGAACUGAAGUCUUCCACCUCUGAAGUAAAUGCCAAAGCAAUUAGGCUAGAGAGUCAUGUUUCCCUUUGUGUACUGCUGAAAUCACGCAUUCCUGUGGGCCAGCUUCAGCAGGAAAGGCAAAGAGAGCUUUUCUCUCUGCUCAUUCCUAGCCUCAAGGUCAGGGUGGUCCCUUGAGAGUCUGUAGCUGCAGCUGAUAACUCCAGGCUGAGGAGGGUCUUACAGACAGGUACUGCUCUUCUGGUGCACUCAUCUGGUGCUUCUUCCCUGGGUCAUGUACCUGAAGGACUUCAAAAAUGUAUUCUUGGAGCCAAAAAUAUGCCCCAUUGCUAACCAACAGGCCAAGCAUCCACUUUAAACAGAACUACUGUUGGAAGACAACCAUCUUAUGCUAUGGAUAGCAUGAGACUGAGUUCACAAAAGCUGCUGUGAGGCACCUAUGUUCCCUUUCACCAGUUCAGCCCAAUGAUUUGCAGCCUCAAGAUAUAUCUCCUAGGUAUGAAAAAAUGGGAAAGACUCAACAAGUUCUGCAGAUGUCUGAUCCACCAUCAGUUGUUAAAUACGGGAGAAGAAAUAAGUGGAUUGGGGGAAGGGGAAGAGUUCCCUUUAAUCUAUUACUUAAACUAAUGUUUAUGAUCUUUGAGUAAUGAGGUAUUAAAAUCUGAAUAUUUGA